Molecule: non-coding RNA, 135 nt
Organism: Triticum aestivum (bread wheat)
Lineage: Eukaryota; Viridiplantae; Streptophyta; Magnoliopsida; Poales; Poaceae
Source: Rfam
UAUAUACUCCCUCCGACCCAAGAUUCUUGUCUUAGAUUUGUCUAUAUACGAAUGUAUCUAUUCACAUUUUAGUGUUUAAUACAUCCGUAUCUAGAUAAAUCUAAGACAAGAAUUUUGGGAUAGAGCGAGUAUUUG